RNAcentral lists this long non-coding RNA (717 nucleotides) under Mytilus galloprovincialis (Mediterranean mussel). Lineage: Eukaryota; Metazoa; Mollusca; Bivalvia; Mytilida; Mytilidae. The record is from RNAcentral.
CCCGCAUUGAUUUUGUCACUGGUCAGUAUCCCACAUUUUCCAUAAAAAAUUUAAAACGGGAUCGCAGGUCCUUGGUAGGGCAAAUCAUAACAAUAAUUUCGAGACCAUCACAAUCGUGUCCUCGGCAAUGGAAGAACUUUGUGUCAGUUGAUAGAAACAAAGUUGUUCUUUUUGAAUUCUUUGUGUCAGAAUUGAGUAAACAAUCCUAUAGAUUUACACUUGAAGGAAUUGAUUUAUUUGUAUCACAUGGAAGUAUGUGCCACAAAAUUUCUGUUGAAAAUGAAAUAGUGACAAGUGUAAAAUGCACUGAGCUUUUAAGCAAACAGAAAAAAGCCGACACAAAAUUUGGGGAGAAUGUUUGUAGAGCACUGCCAGGAUUUCACGCUUUUAAUGGUUGUGAUUCAGUUAGUGCUUUGUCCGGUAAAGGAAAAAGAAAAGCAUUCGGCGUUUUGACACGUUCUGUGGAGUUUUCAGAAGGUCUAUCCCGUCUUGGUGAAACUUUUGAAGAGAUAGGCGAAGAACUGUCAAAAACACUCGAGAGGUUUUUAUGUGCUAUAUAUGGCUACGAGAAUAAUAACAUCAAUGAAUUAAGAUUCAGAAUGUUUUGCAAUGCAAAAAACAUUCAUUGUCAUUUAUUGCUCCCAACAAAAGAUGCAAUGUUAAAGCACAUCAAACGAGCCAACUUUCAGGCAAAGAUUUGGAAAUCUGCUCUUCAAA